AGAGUUUGAUCCUGGCUCAGGAUGAACGCUAGCGGCAGGCCUAAUACAUGCAAGUCGAGGGGCAGCGGGAUAGCAAUAUUGCCGGCGACCGGCGCACGGGUGCGUAACGCGUAUGCAACUUACCCUUUACAGGGAGAUAGCCCGGAGAAAUUCGGAUUAAUAUCCCAUAGUAUAUGAGAUUGGCAUCAAUUUUAUAUUAAAGAUUUAUCGGUAAAGGAUGGGCAUGCGUGUCAUUAGCUAGUUGGUGAGGUAAUGGCUCACCAAGGCUACGAUGACUAGGGGUACUGAGAGGUUACACCCCCACACUGGUACUGAGACACGGACCAGACUCCUACGGGAGGCAGCAGUAAGGAAUAUUGGACAAUGGGCGAGAGCCUGAUCCAGCCAUGCCGCGUGCAGGAUGACGGUCCUAUGGAUUGUAAACUGCUUUUGUAUGGGAAUAAUGGCAGAUACGUGUAUUUGUUUGAAUGUACCAUAAGAAUAAGGAUCGGCUAACUCCGUGCCAGCAGCCGCGGUAAUACGGAGGAUCCAAGCGUUAUCCGGAUUUAUUGGGUUUAAAGGGUGCGUAGGCGGGACAGUAAGUCAGUGGUGAAAUCCUAUCGCUUAACGAUAGAAUUGCCAUUGAUACUGCUGACCUUGAGUACAAAUGAUGUGGGCGGAAUGUGCAGUGUAGCGGUGAAAUGCUUAGAUAUUGCACAGAACACCGAUAGCGAAGGCAGCUCACAAAAAUGUAACUGACGCUGAUGCACGAAAGUAUGGGGAUCAAACAGGAUUAGAUACCCUGGUAGUCCAUACAGUAAACGUUGAUAACUCGAUGUGUGCGAUAUACAGUACGCGUCCAAGGGAAACCGAUAAGUUAUCCACCUGGGGAGUACGACCGCAAGGUUGAAACUCAAAGGAAUUGACGGGGGCCCGCACAAGCGGAGGAGCAUGUGGUUUAAUUCGAUGAUACGCGAGGAACCUUACCUGGGCUUGAAAGUUAGUGCCGAAGAGUGAAAGCUUUUUUUCCGCAAGGACACGAAACUAGGUGCUGCAUGGCUGUCGUCAGCUCGUGCCGUGAGGUGUUGGGUUAAGUCCCGCAACGAGCGCAACCCCUACUUCUAGUUGCCAACAGGUAAUGCUGGGGACUCUAGAGGAACUGCCCGCGCAAGCGGAGAGGAAGGUGGGGAUGACGUCAAGUCAGCACGGCCCGUACGUCCAGGGCUACACACGUGCUACAAUGGGUACUACAAAGGGCAGCUACACAGCGAUGUGAUGCAAAUCUCUAAAGGUACUCUCAGUUCGGAUUGGAGUCUGCAACUCGACUCCAUGAAGCUGGAUUCGCUAGUAAUCGUAGAUCAGCAAUGCUACGGUGAAUACGUUCCCGGGCCUUGUACACACCGCCCGUCAAACAAUGGAAGUUGGGGGUACCUAAAGUCGAUAACCGCAAGGAGUCGCCUAGGGUAAAACCGAUAACUGGUGUUAAGUCGUAACAAGGUA
Molecule: ribosomal RNA, 1479 nt
Filed under: metagenome
Description: bacterial SSU rRNA
Rfam family: Bacterial small subunit ribosomal RNA
Source: RNAcentral